CUUCUGCCUUCUCGCCCAAAGGCGAUUGGCGCCCUGCGGCGUAGAUCGAGGAUCGAAUCCGCGACAAUGGCAUUCGUG
Molecule: small RNA, 78 nt
Filed under: Sinorhizobium meliloti 2011
Lineage: Bacteria; Pseudomonadati; Pseudomonadota; Alphaproteobacteria; Hyphomicrobiales; Rhizobiaceae
Description: putative ncRNA
Source: RNAcentral